UACGUAGGGGGCGAGCGUUGUCCGGAAUCAUUGGGCGUAAAGAGCUCGUAGGCGGCUUGGCAAGUCGGGUGUGAAAUCUCUGGGCUUAACUCAGAGAGGCCACUCGAUACUGCUAUGGCUAGAGUCCGGUAGGGGACCAUGGAAUUCCUGGUGUAGCGGUGAAAUGCGCAGAUAUCAGGAGGAACACCGGUGGCGAAGGCGGUGGUCUGGGCCGGUACUGACGCUGAGGAGCGAAAGCGUGGGGAGCGAACAGG
This 254-nucleotide ribosomal RNA is filed under the name uncultured bacterium. RNAcentral's name for it is "partial 16S ribosomal RNA". It matches the Rfam family "Bacterial small subunit ribosomal RNA", at positions 524 to 776 of the family's 1533-position model. The record is from RNAcentral.